UGGGGAAUAUUGGACAAUGGGGGAAACCCUGAUCCAGCCAUGCCGCGUGAGUGAUGAAGGCCUUAGGGUUGUAAAGCUCUUUCGCUGGGGAAGAUAAUGACGGUACCCAGUAAAGAAGCCCCGGCUAACUUCGUGCCAGCAGCCGCGGUAAUACGAAGGGGGCUAGCGUUGUUCGGAAUUACUGGGCGUAAAGCGCACGUAGGCGGGUAUUUAAGUCAGGGGUGAAGUCCCGGAGCUCUACUCCGGAACUGCCUUUGAUACUGGAUACCUUGAGUUCGAGAGAGGUGAGUGGAAGUCCGAGUGUAGAGGUGAAAUUCGUAGAUAUUCGGAGGAACACCAGUGGAGAAGGCGGCUCACUGGCGCGAUACUGACGCUGAGGUGCGAAAGUGUGGGGAGCAAACAGGAUUAGAUACCCCCGUAGUCC
RNAcentral lists this ribosomal RNA (424 nucleotides) under uncultured prokaryote. RNAcentral's name for it is "bacterial SSU rRNA". It matches the Rfam family "Bacterial small subunit ribosomal RNA", at positions 355 to 796 of the family's 1533-position model. The record is from RNAcentral.